GCGGGAAGGGCCGGGGUGCUAUAAUGCAGUCGAGCGAACUGAUUAGAAGCUUGCUUCUAUGACGUUAGCGGCGGACGGGUGAGUAACACGUGGGCAACCUGCCUGUAAGACUGGGAUAACUUCGGGAAACCGAAGCUAAUACCGGAUAGGAUCUUCUCCUUCAUGGGAGAUGAUUGAAAGAUGGUUUCGGCUAUCACUUACAGAUGGGCCCGCGGUGCAUUAGCUAGUUGGUGAGGUAACGGCUCACCAAGGCAACGAUGCAUAGCCGACCUGAGAGGGUGAUCGGCCACACUGGGACUGAGACACGGCCCAGACUCCUACGGGAGGCAGCAGUAGGGAAUCUUCCGCAAUGGACGAAAGUCUGACGGAGCAACGCCGCGUGAGUGAUGAAGGCUUUCGGGUCGUAAAACUCUGUUGUUAGGGAAGAACAAGUACAAGAGUAACUGCUUGUACCUUGACGGUACCUAACCAGAAAGCCACGGGUAACUACGUGCCACCAGCCCCGGUAAUACGUAAUGGCAAGCGUUAUCCGGAAUUAUUGGGCGUAGAGUGCGCGCACGGGUUUCUUAGUGCUGAUGUGUGGGUACCCAAGCGCGGGUG
This 600-nucleotide ribosomal RNA is filed under the name Priestia megaterium. Its description in RNAcentral is "bacterial SSU rRNA". It matches the Rfam family "Bacterial small subunit ribosomal RNA", at positions 24 to 675 of the family's 1533-position model. The record is from RNAcentral. Lineage: Bacteria; Bacillati; Bacillota; Bacilli; Caryophanales; Bacillaceae.